Long non-coding RNA from Toxorhynchites rutilus septentrionalis, 1237 nucleotides. RefSeq lists it as uncharacterized. The transcript is spliced from 3 exons. Lineage: Eukaryota; Metazoa; Arthropoda; Insecta; Diptera; Culicidae. The record is from RefSeq and is a predicted model, not a curated record.
UGGACUGAUGAAUUAUUAACAAAAAAGUGUUUGUCCGCGUUCACGUUCACGGGAACUCUAAACCUACCUUAAGAUGUUGCUUCCAAUUCGCGUUGACGGCGGAAUGGUGUCGACAUCUGGAUACGAUAUUAGUUUGUAUCAGACACAAUUCUAACUAUUCUCAAUAAGAUUAGUCGGCCCUAGGGCAAUUUUGAAGUGCUAAAAUUUGUAUGAAUUUUUUUUUUCUUUGCGUUAUUUGUCUGCAAAAGUACGAAAAGUAAGUUUUCUCGGUGAGUCAAUGAUAGCCUAGUUUGAAGAAUCCCCUUACAAUUGUGUAGUUCAGAACCUUAAUGAAAUGGACUCAGUUUGAUGUAAUGAUUGCAAUGCCAGAGACAUCGGCGCGUAAGUAAUUUUGUCGCGUCCACAGCUCAACCCGAAACAAAGACAUGUGAUGACGAAAUUCAAGGAAGAACAAGCGAUUUCAAUUGUUUCGUAACUAGAACUGAAAGUUAGCCUUAGCAAGAUCCAAUAUUUAUGCUCUAGGCAAACAUUCCUCUCUUUGGGCCCUAUUAUAGAAAUCGAGGCGAUAAGAAUUUUGCUCGUUAGCUCUAUUUUACUAUUAUAGAAAUCGAGCAAUUCGAUAGCACCAAGCGAGUGAUAGCUAUCGAUGCAAGUGUCAGCAAUUUUCGAGUUGUUUGGUUCGCUUUUUGCAUAUCUUCAGAGAAUUAUGUUGUUUUGGUUUGCGUCCCUGAUUCUUUCCUUUAGGAAACAUUUCAGAAACGCCUAAAUAUAUGCAAUUUUCAACACAUGUUCAUUUGUUUUGAUCAGUAUUUGUAUUACGGUGCUGCCAGAAUAGUCUAUACAAGCGCAUAUUUCAGUGGCUGAAAAUGAGUGGACAAACAAAUCACCACCAGUACGACUCGUUGAACCAAUGAAAGCGAAUGUAAACAUUGCUCGAGUUUUUUUGGAGGCAGUUCAAAUAGAAUCCCUGUUAAGGAAAAGUGGGAGGAAUUCAGUGAGGAGAUUGAUGCACUGAGACCAUCAAUGUGUCUUGGUUCAGAAUGGCAGAAAAUUUGGAUUGACAUGAGGUGAAAGGUAAAGAAAACACUAGCACACAACAAGCGAAAAUUUAGGGCCACAAGUGGUGGCCCAAUACAAUAAAGCUAUUGACGCCGCUACAACGAGAAAUCGACGCUAAAAGAAAAUUACAUGCAAAAAAAUUGUUUUGCUAGAAAAAGUGGAAUUCAUGCGUGACUCC